Molecule: small RNA, 31 nt
Filed under: Bombyx mori (domestic silkworm)
Lineage: Eukaryota; Metazoa; Arthropoda; Insecta; Lepidoptera; Bombycidae
Description: ovarian small RNA-3968
Source: RNAcentral
UUCAAGAGUGCAUUCGCCAAUCCGGGCGAGC